GUUGUAUAGUCAAGUAAUUAAGUGCAUGUGGUGGAUGCCUUGGCAGUCAGAGGCGAUGAAAGACGUGAUAGCCUGCGAAAAGCUCCGGGGAGGCGGCAAAUAUCCUUUGAUCCGGAGAUGUCUGAAUGGGGGAACCCACCUACUUUAAGGUAGGUAUUGCAACAUGAAUACAUAGUGUUGCAAGGCGAACGAGGGGAAGUGAAACAUCUCAGUACCCUUAGGAAAAGAAAUCAAUUGAGAUUCCCUCAGUAGCGGCGAGCGAACGGGGAUCAGCCCAUUAAGUUAUGUGUGUUUUAGUGGAACGCUCUGGGAAGUGCGAACGUAGAGGGUGAUAUUCCCGUACACGAAAGGGCACACAUAAUGAUGACGAGUAGGGCGAGGCACGUGAAACCUUGUCUGAAUAUGGGGGGACCAUCCUCCAAGGCUAAAUACUCCUGACUGACCGAUAGUGAACCAGUACCGUGAGGGAAAGGCGAAAAGAACCCCUGUGAGGGGAGUGAAAUAGAUCCUGAAACCGCAUGCAUACAAGCAGUGGGAGCACCUUCGUGGUGUGACUGCGUACCUUUUGUAUAAUGGGUCAGCGACUUAUAUUCAGUAGCGAGGUUAACCGUAUAGGGAGCCGUAGAGAAAUCGAGUCUUAAUAGGGCGUUUAGUUGCUGGGUAUAGACCCGAAACCAGGCGAUCUAUCCAUGAGCAGGUUGAAGGUUGGGUAACACUAACUGGAGGACCGAACCCACUGUCGUUGAAAAGCCAGGGGAUGACUUGUGGAUAGGGGUGAAAGGCUAAUCAAGCCUGGUGAUAGCUGGUUCUCCCCGAAAGCUAUUUAGGUAGCGCCUCGGACGAAUACCAUAGGGGGUAGAGCACUGUUUCGGCUAGGGGUCAUCCCGACUUACCAAACCGAUGCAAACUCCGAAUACCUAUGAGUACUAUCCGGGAGACAGACUGCGGGUGCUAACGUCCGUAGUCAAGAGGAAAACAAUCCAGACCGCCAGCUAAGGCCCCAAAAUCAUAGUUAAGUGGGAAACGAUGUGGGAAGGCAUAGACAGCUAGGAGUUGGCUUAGAAGCAGCCACCCUUUAAAGAAAGCGUAAUAGCUCACUAGUCGAGUCGGCCUGCGCGGAAGAUGUAACGGGGCUAAAACUAUGUGCCGAAGCUGCGGAUGUAUACUUUGUAUACGUGGUAGGGGAGCGUUCUGUAAGCCGAUGAAGGUGUGUUGAGAAGCAUGCUGGAGGUAUCAGAAGUGCGAAUGCUGACGUGAGUAACGACAAAACGGGUGAAAAACCCGUUCGCCGAAAGACCAAGGGUUCCAGUCCAACGUUAAUCGGGGCUGGGUGAGUCGACCCCUAAGGCGAGGCCGAAAGGCGUAGUCGAUGGGAAAAUGGUUAAUAUUCCAUUACUUCUGUGUAAUGCGAUGAGAGGACGGAGAAGGCUAAAUCAGCCUGGCGUUGGUUGUCCAGGUGAAAGGAUGUAGGCAUGUAUCUUAGGCAAAUCCGGGGUACUCUAUGCUGAGAUCUGAUAGCAAGCUGUACUUGUACAGCGAAGUGGUUGAUGCCAUGCUUCCAGGAAAAGUCUCUAAGCUUCAGUUACACAGGAAUCGUACCCGAAACCGACACAGGUGGUCAGGUCGAGUAGACCAAGGCGCUUGAGAGAACUCUGCUGAAGGAACUAGGCAAAAUGGUACCGUAACUUCGGGAGAAGGUACGCUGUUGUUGGUGAUGGAACUCGCUUCCUGAGCUGACGACAGCCGCAGAAACCAGGCCGCUGCAACUGUUUAUUAAAAACAUAGCACUCUGCAAACACGAAAGUGGACGUAUAGGGUGUGAUGCCUGCCCGGUGCUGGAAGGUUAAUUGAUGGGGUUAGCGUAAGCGAAGCUCUUGAUCGAAGCCCCAGUAAACGGCGGCCGUAACUAUAACGGUCCUAAGGUAGCGAAAUUCCUUGUCGGGUAAGUUCCGACCUGCACGAAUGGCAUAAUGAUGGCGGCGCUGUCUCCAGCAGAGGCUCAGUGAAAUCGAAAUCGCUGUGAAGAUGCAGUGUACCCGCGGCUAGACGGAAAGACCCCGUGAACCUUUACUGCAGCUUGACACUGAACUUUGACCUUACUUGUGUAGGAUAGGUGGGAGGCUUUGAAGCUGGAACGCUAGUUCCAGUGGAGCCGUCCUUGAAAUACCACCCUGGUAAUGUUGAGGUUCUAACUCUGUCCCGUGAUCCGGGACGAGGACCGUGUCUGGUGGGUAGUUUGACUGGGGCGGUCUCCUCCUAAAGAGUAACGGAGGAGUACGAAGGUGCGCUCAGCGUGGUCGGAAAUCACGCGUAGAGUAUAAAGGCAAAAGCGCGCUUAACUGCGAGACCCACAAGUCGAGCAGGUACGAAAGUAGGUCUUAGUGAUCCGGUGGUUCUGUAUGGAAGGGCCAUCGCUCAACGGAUAAAAGGUACUCUGGGGAUAACAGGCUGAUACCGCCCAAGAGUUCAUAUCGACGGCGGUGUUUGGCACCUCGAUGUCGGCUCAUCUCAUCCUGGGGCUGAAGCAGGUCCCAAGGGUAUGGCUGUUCGCCAUUUAAAGAGGUACGCGAGCUGGUUUAGAACGUCGUGAGACAGUUCGGUCCCUAUCUACCGUGGGCGCUGGAAAUUUGAGAGGAUCUGCUCCUAGUACGAGAGGACCAGAGUGGACGAACCUCUGGUGUACCGGUUGUGACGCCAGUCGCAUCGCCGGGUAGCUAUGUUCGGAAGGGAUAACCGCUGAAAGCAUCUAAGCGGGAAGCCUACCUCAAGAUAAGAUUUCCCUAGGACUUUAUGUCCUCUAAAGAGCCGUUCGAGACUAGGACGUUGAUAGGUUGGAUGUGGAAGCAUAGUGAUAUGUGAAGCUGACCAAUACUAAUUGCUCGUGAGGCUUGACUAUACAACACCCAAGCAGUUG
RNAcentral lists this ribosomal RNA (2914 nucleotides) under Acinetobacter baumannii. RNAcentral describes it as "23S ribosomal RNA". It matches the Rfam family "Bacterial large subunit ribosomal RNA". The record is from RNAcentral. Lineage: Bacteria; Pseudomonadati; Pseudomonadota; Gammaproteobacteria; Moraxellales; Moraxellaceae.